UCUUCCAUGCCGCACGCGAGCUCCGCUGACCAGGCUGGUAUGUCGUCGUCUUUGUUCUAUGGAUUGCCCAGGACACGACGAAAGCGUUUCCUUGGAAAUGACAACUUGCUUCGCCAUAUUGACUGCAAUCAGAGUGACAUAUCCGAUGAGAGCAGCGAUGAUGAAUUGGAAGUGGCACCUGUUGAUAGAAACUCUGAUGAAGAAAUCAGUUCAACGGAGUCCGAGGAUGAGGUCACGGCACCCACAACAGGCUUGAAAGUGACAUACGCUAUACGUGGAAGAAAACAUCAUUUCAGAUGCCAGGAAGUUGCUUCAAAAAUGACUUGCCUUUGCCUCCCUCCGAGCCUCACACAGCAAAGCAGCUGUUUGACUUGUUUGUGUCAAGAACGAUGCUGACACGCGUCGUUGAAGGAACGAACAAGUACUACCUGCAUAAAAAUGGAACGUCGUUAGGCAUGACUAUUGAAGAACUAACUAGCAUACUGGGAA
Molecule: long non-coding RNA, 489 nt
Organism: Rhipicephalus sanguineus (brown dog tick)
Lineage: Eukaryota; Metazoa; Arthropoda; Arachnida; Ixodida; Ixodidae
Exons: 2
Source: RefSeq, a predicted model, not a curated record